AUUUGUAGAGACUCACGGCGAAGAUGAACGGUGUGCAGGGUGCAGAGACUCAAGAUUCGUAAUCGUGCAGGGUUUUGGACUUUUGGUUGGAAACUAAAAAGAUGAUUGUUGUGGUGGCAGCUUUGGUUAAACAGUCCUUUGCACUUCCUCUUCUGUGAAUGAGAGUUUUGGGCAAACAAAUUUUUUUUUGUUGUUGUGUUGAUUGUAGUUGUAGUAUUUUUAUGGAAUCUUAUUAAAAAUGUA
RNAcentral lists this long non-coding RNA (243 nucleotides) under Trifolium pratense (red clover). RNAcentral describes it as "long non-coding RNA (TPRA_LNC001667)". The record is from RNAcentral. Lineage: Eukaryota; Viridiplantae; Streptophyta; Magnoliopsida; Fabales; Fabaceae.